CAGCCCUAAACGAUGCGCGUUAGGUGUAUCGGUGACCACGAGUCACCGAGGUGCCGAAGGGAAGCCGUGAAGCGAGCCACCUGGGAAGUACGGCCGCAAGGCUGAAACUUAAAGGAAUUGGCGGGGGAGCACAACAACGGGUGGAGCUUGCGGUUUAAUUGGAUUCAACGCCGGAAAUCUUACCGGGACCGACAUAUGAUAGUCGGGCUGAAGACUCUACUUGAUGAUCUGAGAGGAGGUGCAUGGCGUCAGUGACU
Molecule: ribosomal RNA, 257 nt
Filed under: uncultured archaeon
Lineage: Archaea
Description: partial 16S ribosomal RNA
Rfam family: Archaeal small subunit ribosomal RNA
Source: RNAcentral